AACGAACGCUGGCGGCAUGCCUAACACAUGCAAGUCGAACGGGAUCCUAGCUUGCUAGGUGAGAGUGGCGGACGGGUGAGUAACACGUGGGAAUCUGCCUUUUGGCUCGGGAUAACCGCGGGAAACUGCGGCUAAUACCGAAUGCCCUCGUGAGAGGAAAGAUUUAUCGCCAGAAGAGGAGCCCGCGUCCGAUUAGGUAGUUGGUGGGGUAAAGGCCUACCAAGCCGACGAUCGGUAGCUGGUCUGAGAGGAUGAUCAGCCACACUGGGACUGAGAUACGGCCCAGACUCCUACGGGAGGCAGCAGUGGGGAAUAUUGGACAAUGGGGGCAACCCUGAUCCUGCAAUGCCGCGUGAGUGAUGAAGGCCUUAGGGUUGUAAAGCUCUUUUGCCAGGGAAGAUGAUGACUGUACCUGGAGAAUAAGCCCCGGCUAACUUCGUGCCAGCAGCCGCGGUAAU
Molecule: ribosomal RNA, 458 nt
Filed under: uncultured bacterium
Lineage: Bacteria
Description: bacterial SSU rRNA
Rfam family: Bacterial small subunit ribosomal RNA
Source: RNAcentral